RNAcentral lists this ribosomal RNA (395 nucleotides) under uncultured bacterium. Its description in RNAcentral is "bacterial SSU rRNA". It matches the Rfam family "Bacterial small subunit ribosomal RNA", at positions 64 to 507 of the family's 1533-position model. The record is from RNAcentral.
GAACGCCCCGCAAGGGGAGUGGCGCACGGGUGAGUAAUGCGUGGGAACCUGCCCUGGAGUUUGGGAUAACCCGGCGAAAGCCGGGCUAAUACCGGAUACGCCCUGAGGGGGAAAGAUUUAUCGCUCUAGGAGGGGCCCGCGUCGGAUUAGCUAGUUGGUGAGGUAACGGCUCACCAAGGCGAUGAUCCGUAGCUGGUCUGAGAGGAUGAUCAGCCACACUGGGACUGAGACACGGCCCAGACUCCUACGGGAGGCAGCAGUGGGGAAUAUUGGACAAUGGGGGCAACCCUGAUCCAGCAAUGCCGCGUGAGUGAUGAAGGCCUUAGGGUUGUAAAGCUCUUUCGCCCGCGACGAUGAUGACGGUAGCGGGAGAAGAAGCCCCGGCUAACUUCGUG